Long non-coding RNA from Beta vulgaris subsp. vulgaris (sugar beet), 739 nucleotides. RefSeq lists it as uncharacterized. The transcript is spliced from 3 exons. The record is from RefSeq and is a predicted model, not a curated record. Lineage: Eukaryota; Viridiplantae; Streptophyta; Magnoliopsida; Caryophyllales; Amaranthaceae.
GAAAAUUCUGAAAUGCACCUAGUAGAAUGGAGCCCCAUUAAACCACUUAAUUGUGUCGAUCAAGGCUGGGAUUAUACACCUAUACCUCCCUCACAUACACCUCCAUACUUCACAUAAUUUUCAUCACUUAAUUCCCACAAAAACCCACUGCCCAAAACUCUUUCUCUCUCUUCCCCUUACACGCCAUUUCUGGCGGUACAAGCAGAGGAGGAUACUGCUUGUGUUUUCUCGAAAUUUUCCUCAAUAACUCUAGCAUGCAAGACCUGAUCUUCAUUAUAUACAUAUAGGAGCAUACUGGGUAGCCAAGAAAUCAUUCGUUCAAGGUCAAGAAGCUCAAGAAAAAUAGACAUCUUCCUCAACCAGAAAAACAGUAGGUGUUUAAGGAUUCCAAGGAGGUAAAAAUCUCGUCCAAAGGAGAAGGAGAAGUCGGAUUAUUGCUGUUAGAAGUGAAGAUUUUUGUGCAGGAAAUAGCAAACUAAGGUAAUCCGAGGGAAGAGCGAAUAUGAAGUCAUGUCCCUACUAUCAUAGCAGAUGCAAGCUUGAACAUGAUCACCUUUUGCGAUUUACUUCUGUUAUGAAUACUGUUUAACUUAUGAUUAAAAUCUUAUUUUGGUUUGUAAUAACUAACCUAAUUUCAUUGGUGAUGAAUGUUUAAUUUAAGUGUAGCUCGUAGAGUCAACUCAACCAUAUUAAUGGGUUGACUCCAGCAGGUGACAGCCUCCGUAACGUUUGAUUAUGA